This 354-nucleotide ribosomal RNA is filed under the name Hepatozoon sp. Its description in RNAcentral is "partial small subunit ribosomal RNA". It matches the Rfam family "Eukaryotic small subunit ribosomal RNA", at positions 438 to 780 of the family's 1831-position model. Lineage: Eukaryota; Apicomplexa; Hepatozoidae. The record is from RNAcentral.
AAAUUACCCAAUUCUAACAGCAUAAGAGAGGUAGUGACAAGAAAUAACAGUACAAGGCAGUUAAAAUGCUUUGUAAUUGGAAUGAUAGAAAUUUAAAUACUUUUUAAAGUAUCAAUUGGAGGGCAAGUCUGGUGCCAGCAGCCGCGGUAAUUCCAGCUCCAAUAGCGUAUAUUAAAAUUGUUGCAGUUAAAAAGCUCGUAGUUGAAUUUUUGCUAAAAAUAACCGGUCUGCUUUUAUUAAUAAAAGUGGUAUCUUGGUGUGUUUCUAGCAAUAAUGUCCUUUGAAAUGUUUUUUACUUCAAUGUAAAAAGCAAUUUUCAGGAUUUUUACUUUGAGAAAAUUAGAGUGUUUCAAG